UUAUAUCGGUACCUGGACCGGAUAUAUUGUGGUACCGACUACCAAAUACUACCAGAUACCUACACGUGGACCGCUAUAACAAUAGUAACAGGGCUGUAUAUUACACCACAACUUACAGCAUACAAGCCGUAUAUAAGUACAUGUUUGGCAGCUACGUUGUGGAAGCAGAUAAUUACAGAGGUCCAAGAGUCAGAGCUUACAUUGAACUUCUGGAAGUCUUCAACUGUUUAGGUUUGCCUAUUACAACAACGGAAGAAACAAUUACCACAGCAACUGAAUCCAGUACCACAGCAAUUGAAGUCAGUACUAAAUUAAGAUCGAUAAACACGGCCUCUCCCAAGAAGUCAGGAGAGGGUGGGGUAAUAGCAGGAGCUGUAGUGGGGUCACUCCUGUUGAUAUCCCUGUGGUGAGAGGGACCCUAGUAUACAUAAGAUACAACAGAAAAAGAAAAGGGAAUGAAAAAUUUGAACAGCUGGACCUUCUGAAUGCCCAGAAUUGCUGACAAGAAGGAAA
Molecule: long non-coding RNA, 513 nt
Organism: Saccostrea cuccullata (small rock oyster)
Lineage: Eukaryota; Metazoa; Mollusca; Bivalvia; Ostreida; Ostreidae
Exons: 3
Source: RefSeq, a predicted model, not a curated record